Molecule: long non-coding RNA, 2674 nt
Organism: Lycium ferocissimum
Lineage: Eukaryota; Viridiplantae; Streptophyta; Magnoliopsida; Solanales; Solanaceae
Exons: 2
Source: RefSeq, a predicted model, not a curated record
CACUCUUCUCUUUCUCUCAAUCUCUCAAUUAUAGUUACUUUGCAACAAUUAGCCACUUUAAAUUUCUCUCAAUUAAAUAUUAUAAAGUCUUAUUAUAGUUUCAAUUAUUAAUUUUGCAAUUAUAAUAUUGUUGGUGGAGUUGGUGAUUUUACAACAAUCCGAAGUAGCUUUGGUGGAUUUGCAAUUCUAGCCGCCUUCACUUUGUUGGAAAUUAGUCCAGCAAUUUGGUACCUUCGUUCCAACUCUAUCUUUAUUUUUCGCAAUUUAAUUUACGCAAUUUAAUUUGUUGCAAUUUAUUUUCUUGUGAUUUAAAUUAAUUAUAUUUAAUAAUGACGAAGAGAUUUAGACGUGGUGCUGGUAGUAGUGGUAUUGUUAGGGGUGGGUUUAAUGAGGAAACAUUUGUGGAAGAAACACCUAAUUUAGGUAUUGAUGUUGGUGAAAAUAAUUCACUUUUAGAUCAUGAGGCAAUGCAACAACAUUAUACCGACACUUUUAAUGAAAUUGAUGAUGAUGAUGAUGAAACACAAGCCCCCGAAAAUCCCAUAGGAGAUACAUGUCCUGCACAAUCACAUACACAAGACAAACUGCCUUGAACUCGUAAGCCAACCGCUAAAAUUUGGAAACAUAUGACUAAGAAUAAGGAAAGCCAAACAGCUAAAUGUAACAUAUGUGGACAAGUAUUUGUUUUUAGACAAGGAACUAGUAAGGAUGGUGGAACGGGUACACUAAAUGGUCAUAUGAGAAAGAAACAUAUGAAUGUUUGGGGAGAGCAAACGGGUUCAAAUGUGGGGGUAUUCAAAUGACGAUAGACCCACGAACCGGUAAAAAUUUUAAGUAUGACAAGAAAAAAGAGCAUGUAGAAAUAGCUAAAAUGGUAGCUUAUGAUUGUUUACCAUUUUCCUUUCCUUCGGGUUUGGGGUUUGUUACUUACAUUCAACGUUGUUAUAAUCCGUUAUUUGAGGGUAUUCCUAGAAGUACUUGUAGAGCGGAUGUUAUAGAUUUGUAUAAAAAAUAUAGAUUUUAUUUGCGCCAUGUAUUUAAUUCUUUAAAUUGUAAUGUUUUUCUUACCGCUGAUUUGGGUCUUAGUCUUAACAAGUUAGAUUUUGUUGCUAUUACAUGUCAUUGGGUUGAUGAUAAUUGGGUUAUGCAAAAAAGAAUUAUAGCUUUUUUAUAUGAUGAAGGGAAAGGUCGUCACGAUGAAAAAAAUUUAGCGGAUUCAAUGUCUACUAUUAUGAGAUUUUUUAACAUUUAUAGAAAAACACUUUGUAUUGCUUUAGAUAAUGCUUCUAAUAAUAUAAAGGCGAUUGGUCUUUUAAAAAGAGAAUUAAACCCUCCGCUAAAAAAUAUUUUUCAUGUGAGAUGUAGUUGUCACAUUUUAAACUUAAUUGUUAAAGAUGGCCUUGUGUGUUUUGACGAUUCUAUUCAAAAAGUUAGAGAGGCGGUUGCGUUUCUUUUUUGUAAUGCUAAUAGGGGAAGAUCGAGAGAUUUUAAGAAUUGUUGUGUGGAAAAUAACCUUAGACCUAGGAAAAUUCAAGUAGAAAUUGAGACUAGGUGGAACUACACUUACAUUAUGCUACAAUAAGCAUAUGAGUAUAGGAUUCCCAUACAACAAGUUCACAACAAAUAUAAUAUUAAUAAUGAUGAUUGGUUAAAUUUUACGCAUUGGGAAGAUGUUAAGGAAUGUGUUGAACUCUUAGAAAAUUUUUAUAAUGCAACUCUUGCUUUUUUUAAAUAAUUCUAUCCCACGGUAAUCGAAAUUUUAGCCUACUUAGCGGAAAUAGCUAGAGUUUUACAAGAGUAUAAACAUAAACCCGGUUAUCAAGCGGCUAUUUUUUAUAUGACAACAAAAUUUAAGAAGUAUUUUUUUUCAUCCCAACUUUAUUUAUAUUGGGUUCUCUUUUAAAUCCUUGUUUAAAAGUGUCUUAUACUAAAGCAUUGGUUAAUCAAAUUUAUACAUUUUUAGAAAUUGAAGAGGGAGUUGAACCAUCUUUAGCUGAAGCCGACCUCGCUAUUGAUGCCGAGUUUAGAAAAGUUUUUAGUCAUUAUUCUAAUUUGGAAGAACAUGCUACACCCGUUGCUCCACGCCCUACUACUUCUCAAAGUAGCAAAAAGGGCUUGUCGGGUUUGUCGCAUUUAAAAGUUUUACAUUCACAUCCAACUCCUUCUUGUAAUGCAAACUUUGAUGAAUAUCACUUUUAUUUGAUGCAGCCAAAUGUGGAUAUCAAGGAACUAGAUGAUUUGGACGUCUUAGCAUGGUGGAAGAAAUAUAAGGCAAGUCAUACGAUACUCUCAAGAAUGGUUCGAGAUAUCCUUACGGUUCAAGUAUCAACCGUGGCUUCGGAGAUGUGCAUUCGCAAUUGGAUUAGAUCGGAGUGACGCAACCAAAACUUAGAAGCGGUGGAAGGCGAAGAGGAAGAGAUUGAAGAUUUGAUAGCAAGUGGAGCAGACCAAAUGGAAGACUUUGAAGAUAUCUCCAUGGCCGAAUAUGAUAUGAGGGAAAUUAACCAAAUGAUUGAGAAUUGGUGAUUUUAUUAUUCUACUAUUUUUUUGCAACUCAUGUAUUAUUUGCAAGUUAAAAAAAAUUACAACUUGCAAAUAAAUGUUAUCCAAGAAUGAAUAAAAUAUAUUGCUCAUUGAGCUUUCUUCUAUUUACUUGUGUUCAUAUUUUUACUUA